AGGAUACCUUCGGGACCCGUCUUGAAACACGGACCAAGGAGUCUAACAUAUGUGCAAGUUAUUGGGAUGUAAACCUAAUAGCGUAAUUAACUUGACUAAUAAUGGGAUUAGUUUUUUAGCUAUUUAUAGCUAAUUAACACAAUCCCGGGGCGUUCUAUAUAGUUAUGUAUAAUGUAUAUUUAUAUUAUUUAUGCCUCUAACUGGAACGUACCUUGAGCAUAUAUGCUGUGACCCGAAAGAUGGUGAACUAUACUUGAUCAGGUUGAAGUCAGGGGAAACCCUGAUGGAAGACCGAAACAGUUCUGACGUGCAAAUCGAUUGUCAGAAUUGAGUAUAGGGGCGAAAGACCAAUCGAACCAUCUAGUAGCUGGUUCCUUCCGAAGUUUCCCUCAGGAUAGCUGGUGCAUUUUAAUAUUAUAUAAAAUAAUCUUAUCUGGUAAAGCGAAUGAUUAGAGGCCUUAGGGUCGAAACGAUCUUAACCUAUUCUCAAACUUUAAAUGGGUAAGAACCUUAACUUUCUUGAUAUGAAGUUCAAGGUUAUGAUAUAAUGUGCCCAGUGGGCCACUUUUGGUAAGCAGAACUGGCGCUGUGGGAUGAACCAAACGUAAUGUUACGGUGCCCAAAUUAACAACUCAUGCAGAUACCAUGAAAGGCGUUGGUUGCUUAAAACAGCAGGACGGUGAUCAUGGAAGUCGAAAUCCGCUAAGGAGUGUGUAACAACUCACCUGCCGAAGCAACUAGCCCUUAAAAUGGAUGGCGCUUAAGUUGUAUACCUAUACAUUACCGCUAAAGUGGAUGAUUUAUAUUACUUGUGAUAUAAAUUUUGAAACUUUAGUGAGUAGGAAGGUACAAUGGUAUGCGUAGAAGUGUUUGGCGUAAGCCUGCAUGGAGCUGCCAUUGGUACAGAUCUUGGUGGUAGUAGCAAAUAAUCGAAUGAGACCUUGGAGGACUGAAGUGGAGAAGGGUUUCGUGUGAACAGUGGUUGAUCACGAGUUAGUCGGUCCUAAGUUCAAGGCGAAAGCCGAAAAUUUUCAAGUAAAACAAAAAUGCCUAACUAUAUAAAC
Molecule: non-coding RNA, 1064 nt
Filed under: Drosophila sechellia
Lineage: Eukaryota; Metazoa; Arthropoda; Insecta; Diptera; Drosophilidae
Description: Eukaryotic large subunit ribosomal RNA
Rfam family: Eukaryotic large subunit ribosomal RNA
Source: Rfam by way of RNAcentral